RNAcentral lists this ribosomal RNA (489 nucleotides) under uncultured bacterium. Its description in RNAcentral is "partial 16S ribosomal RNA". It matches the Rfam family "Bacterial small subunit ribosomal RNA", at positions 30 to 507 of the family's 1533-position model. The record is from RNAcentral.
UUGAACGCUGGCGGCAGGCCUAACACCUGCAAGUCGCACGGUAACAGGAAGCAGCUUGCUGCUUCGCUGACGAGUGGCGGGCGGGUGAGUAAUGUCUGGGAAACUGCCUGAUGGAGGGGGAUAACUACUGGAAACGGUAGCUAAUACCGCAUAACGUCGCAAGACCAAAGAGGGGGACCUUAGGGCCUCUUGCCAUCGGAUGUGCCCAGAUGGGAUUAGCUAGUAGGUGGGGUAACGGCUCACCUAGGCGACGAUCCCUAGCUGGUCUGAGAGGAUGACCAGCCACACUGGAACUGAGACACGGUCCAGACUCCUACGGGAGGCAGCAGUGGGGAAUAUUGCACAAAGGGCGCAAGCCUGAUGCAGCCAUGCCGCGUGUAUGAAGAAGGCCUUCGGGUUGUAAAGUACUUUCAGCGGGGAGGAAGGGAGUAAAGUUAAUACCUUUGCUCAUUGACGUUACCCGCAGAAGAAGCACCGGCUAACUCCGUG